GAGUGAACACAGAUCUUUAAGAAUUUUUUUUUCUGGCAGCUUUUAUGACUUUGGUCAGAAAGCCUAUGAGUUAU
This 74-nucleotide small nuclear RNA is filed under the name Mus pahari (shrew mouse). RNAcentral's name for it is "snRNA (MGP_PahariEiJ_G0033368.1)". Lineage: Eukaryota; Metazoa; Chordata; Mammalia; Rodentia; Muridae. The record is from RNAcentral.